This 488-nucleotide long non-coding RNA is filed under the name Vulpes vulpes (red fox). RNAcentral describes it as "lncRNA (ENSVVUG00000001806.1)". The record is from RNAcentral. Lineage: Eukaryota; Metazoa; Chordata; Mammalia; Carnivora; Canidae.
GUUAGCUAGACCAGUUCUAGGUAGGCAAGAUUUUAGCUCUAAAAUACAUUAAGAUGUUGAGAAAUACAGGCUUUUUCUUGAGGGGGGGGGGUUAGGGAGCUAAUAGCUUAAAUUCUGAUUCUGUGGAUUGUUGGGAGAGUACAGGAAGGAGCCUUCCUAGAAAAGCAUCAUCUCUCACCAGACAAGAAAGUAUUCUGGGAUCCAUCCUGGGAGGAGGACAAGCCGCACAUCCCGGGGUGGCUAGCAGCUCUGUCCUGCACUGGCUGGCUGUUUGGUGGAUGCUCCAGUGGCCCAAAGGGAAGAAGUGCAGUACAUCGUCUACAUCUGGCUCCUGUUUUGUGCUGUCCGUGACUUGGAAGUUGAACCAAAGUGAAAAUUUUGUCAUUUCAGCAAUCAAGCUCUGUACUGGAGAAACUCUUGAAGAGAAAAGGGACUCUGAGUUUGCAGCGGGCUCAGGAGAUGGGAAGACUGCAAGGUGGCAGCUGUGA